This is an RNA transcript of Carya illinoinensis, 1493 nucleotides long. It is a transcript of the gene named plasmodesmata-located protein 8, with no coding region annotated. The record is from RefSeq and is a predicted model, not a curated record. The transcript has 4 exons. NCBI's taxonomy places the organism in Eukaryota, Viridiplantae, Streptophyta, Magnoliopsida, Fagales, Juglandaceae.
AAGGCUCCGCUAGGGAAUUCAGGAAAGACCAAAAAGCAGCCACUGGUCUCUCACCAUCACCUCAAAACCAGCACAAAACCAUAAGAAAGCAAGCCAAUUAGGCCAAAUAUUGGAAAAAAAACAAGAGAAAAAAAUGCUGAGAAACCUUGAGUUACACUUCAGUACUCGCCAAGCCAUGAUCUUGGUUAUGAGACUACUCUCUUCUCUUUUAUUCUCUCUCUUAUCUUCUCUUAGCAGCCAUGGAUACCCAAUCAACACAUUCAUCUAUGCAGGCUGCUCUCAAGAAAAAUACCAACCCAAUUCACCCGUUGAAGGAAAUCUCAACUCUUUUCUAACAUCGGCAGUCAGCUCGUCUUCUCAACUUUCUUACAACAGCUUCGCUGCAGGAAAUGGAAGCUCCACAACACCCGAUGACAGUAGCAUAACUGGCUUAUACCAGUGCAGGGGGGAUUUGAAGAUCUUUGACUGUUCGAAAUGCAUUGAAAGUGCAGCAAGUCAAAUAGCCUUAGUCUGUCCAUACUCUUAUGGGGCUUCUCUGCAACUCGAAGGCUGCUACAUAAGAUAUGAGCAUGUUGAUUUCUUGGGAAAGCUUGACACAAGUCUUAGGCAUACUAAGUGCAGUAAAAGUGUAAGCAAUGAUUUUGAGUUCUUUAGGCGUAGAGAUGGCGUUCUUGCUGAUUUGCUAGGGGCCAUUGGAUUUAGAGUGAGUAGUUUCGGUUCAGUGCAAGGUUUUGCACAGUGUGUGGGGGAUUUGAACCCAACAGAUUGCUCUUCUUGUCUUGCGGAUGCUGUUGGAAAGUUGAAGAAUGUAUGUGGAUCAGCUACUGCAGCGGACGUGUAUUUGGCGCAGUGUUAUGCUCGGUACUGGGCAUCUGGCUACUAUGAUGCCUCUUCAGAUUCCUCUAACGAGGAUCAAGUGGGAAAAACAGUAGCAAUUAUUGUUGGGAUACUAGCAGGUGUAGCCCUUUUCAUCGUUCUUCUCUCAAUUUGCCGAAGAACCAUGGGUUAAGGAGAUUGAAGAUAUGGCCCGCUUAAUUAAUUUCUUUCCGUUAAUUAUCGAAGCUGGUUAAUUCUCACUAGGCCUGAAAACUGAACUGGACGAUGGCGGUCGGUUCCGACGAUUCCUGUUCAUGUCAGCCAGUGAUAACCCAUGUUGCAAAGGUGACGCUGGAUGUUAUCUUCUGGUAUAAAGUAACACUCUGAUCCCCAUUAACUUACAAAAGAAGAGACGGGCUGCCGAUUCCAUUCUCUUGAUCACGCUAUCCAACAAAAUCCCGUCGGUACUACUUUUCAAUAUAAUGUUCUUAAAGUACCACUUUUAAUUUUCUGAAGCUAUAUGUCAUGUUUCUAUAUAUUCGAUCUAUUAUGUUAGGAAAUUCUGCAUGAUUAUUAUGUAAAUGAUUUAUAUAAACUUAAAGUCAUCCACUCCUUUUGAAAAAAACUUUAUAAAUUUGAGACCAGAUCUAUUAUGUACGCUCUAAGAUUAUAUCUAA